This 657-nucleotide ribosomal RNA is filed under the name Cortinarius sp. LM5362. Its description in RNAcentral is "eukaryotic LSU rRNA". The stretch from base 245 to 398 matches the Rfam family "5.8S ribosomal RNA". The record is from RNAcentral. Lineage: Eukaryota; Fungi; Basidiomycota; Agaricomycetes; Agaricales; Cortinariaceae.
CAUUAUUGAAAUAAACCUGAUGAGUUGCUGCUGGUUCUCUAGGGAGCAUGUGCACACUUGUCAUYUUUGUAUCUCCACCUGUGAACCUUUUGUAGACCUGGAUAUCUCUCUGAAUGCCUGACGGAUUCGGGUUUGAGGAUUGAUUUUUUCUUUCCUCGAGUUUUCAGGUCUAUGUUUUUUUCAUAUACCCCCAUGUAUGUUUAUAGAAUGUAAUAAACGGGCCUYUGUGCCUAUAAACUUAUACAACUUUCAGCAACGGAUCUCUUGGCUCUCGCAUCGAUGAAGAACGCAGCGAAAUGCGAUAAGUAAUGUGAAUUGCAGAAUUCAGUGAAUCAUCGAAUCUUUGAACGCACCUUGCGCUCCUUGGUAUUCCGAGGAGCAUGCCUGUUUGAGUGUCAUUAAUAUAUCAACCCUCCUCAGCUUUUUGCAUGACGAGUGUUGGAUGUGGGGGUUUUUGCUGGACUCUUUCUCUUGAGGUCAGCUCUCCRGAAAUACAUUAGCAAAACAAUUUGUUUACCGCUCAUUGGUGUGAUAAUUAUCUACGCUAUUGACAGUAAAGCACAGUUUAGCUUAUAACAGUCCAUUGACUUGGACAACCUUUUAUCAAUGUGACCUCAAAUCAGGUAGGAUUACCCGCUGAACUUAAGCAUAUCAAUA